UAAUCUCAUUACAAAGUGGGCUAAGGAC
RNAcentral lists this non-coding RNA (28 nucleotides) under Homo sapiens (human). The record is from RNAcentral. Lineage: Eukaryota; Metazoa; Chordata; Mammalia; Primates; Hominidae.